UUAUCAUAUUCUUCUCUGUCAAUGAUGACACUGGUAAAACUUGUUCUUCCACAUUUACAUCUUUAACUUCAAAAUCUAAGAUAAACUCUCUAUCACCGAUGAGUGUACUAGUUGAAUCAUGAUUAAUUAAACUAGUUGAAUCAUGAUUAAUUAACACAUCCUUAAAACUUUAGAAUCUUUAAGCAUAAUAUCUUCUUCCAUUGGCUAAUUAUGACCUUUUUUAGCAUAAGAACGUUGUUUUUCGACAUUAAAAUCCUUUGAUGUAGAGAA
This 270-nucleotide long non-coding RNA is filed under the name Citrus maxima (pomelo). Its description in RNAcentral is "long non-coding RNA (CMAX_LNC002308)". The record is from RNAcentral. Lineage: Eukaryota; Viridiplantae; Streptophyta; Magnoliopsida; Sapindales; Rutaceae.